UGGUCCGUCCUAAUCCCUGCUGGUCAGCCUGUGGCCAGCCAGGUUUCACAUGUGGACCAGAGCACCACAGAAGCCUCACCUGGAGGAGUGAGCGCAGCUUUGGAGGGCUCACGCCACAGGCACUUCUAGACACUC
Molecule: small nucleolar RNA, 135 nt
Organism: Pteronotus mesoamericanus
Lineage: Eukaryota; Metazoa; Chordata; Mammalia; Chiroptera; Mormoopidae
Source: RefSeq, a predicted model, not a curated record